Molecule: non-coding RNA, 29 nt
Filed under: Mus musculus (house mouse)
Lineage: Eukaryota; Metazoa; Chordata; Mammalia; Rodentia; Muridae
Source: RNAcentral
UGAGUUCUUGUGUGUCUCUGUCCCUGACU